This 1741-nucleotide long non-coding RNA is filed under the name Piliocolobus tephrosceles (Ugandan red Colobus). Its description in RNAcentral is "lncRNA (ENSPTEG00000009467.1)". The record is from RNAcentral. Lineage: Eukaryota; Metazoa; Chordata; Mammalia; Primates; Cercopithecidae.
ACUUUUUAUGACUCACCCAUAAGUUACAGCUAUUUAUGUCGUCUCCAUAUUCACCUAUUAAAUUUAACAUUUUUCUUAACAUUUUUAUUAACAUUUUUCUUAACAUUUUUCUUUUUUUUUUGUUACUUACACAACGUAGCCGAUUUGGUUUACUUGUAUUUAAAAAUAAAAACACACGUAAAUGCAUACUUAUAAAUAUAUACACAAUUGAUAUAUAUAUAUGGAUAAGUAUAACCACCAUGGCUAAGAAAAGUCGUAAAAAUAAAAGAAGAAUCACUUCUCUAAACGAAUUGUAUGAGCUAGAGUAUGUGAAAAAAGAAAAAAAAAAAAAACUGAAAGCUCUUCAUUCAGCUAUUAACAAUGCUAAUAUACCAACAAAGGAAAAGGAAGCAACAAAAACAACAUCAAAAACUACAAAAGAAAAAGGAGUUGAUAACAUUUUAUUAAAAAAAUAUUCAAAGUUACAAAGAUUAGAAAAAGUUAAAAAAAAUGAUGAUAAAAAAACAAAUUCAAGUAAAAAAAACACAGACAGCAACAAAAUGUCAGCAUAUGAAACUUUUUUACAUAUGUUAAAAAAAAAAAAAGAAAAUGAAAAAAAUGCGAAAAAUGGGAAAAAUGGGGAAAAUGAAAAAAAUGCGAAAAAUGAGCACAAUGGACAUAAGAAUUUAAAAAACAAUUUAAGCGACAAAAGCAUUGAUGAUAAUUCUUUUACAAUGACAAAAAAAAAUGACAAAGUAGGUGGUAUCGAAGGCACAGUAGAACAAAAUUCAUUAUGCCAAAAUAAACAAAUGGAUAAAAAUCAAAACGACAAAAACGAAGAAAAAGUAAACACAAAAAAGGGUUUUUUAUGCAAUAAUGAUGAAAUAUAUAUAUCGAUAUUAACAACUAACGUAAAAAACCAAAAAGAAUAUUAUAUUCAACGCUUUAACACAAAUGACACUUUUUUUAAUUCUCACGAUGUUGAUAGUGGCGAUAAUAGUAAUGUACAUACAAACGAAAACGACAAUUUCGGAAAAAAUGAUAACAGUUUAUAUUCUAAUAAUUAUUACUUAACAAAAUAUAAUCCAAUAAAUAUUUAUAAAAACUACCUGAACGAUUCAUAUAAAUUAAACCAAAACAAAUUAGAUUUUUAUUUUACUUUUUGUCACUCUGUAAAUGAAAAAUUUAUUCAGCUAUUUUGUGAAAAAAAAUCAAAUAACAUAAACAAAGUGAAUGAUAAAAAAUCAAAUAGUAAAAAAAGUAUUCAAAAUGUAUAUAUUAAUUCCAAUUUAUUUUUAGAAACGAAUAUUUUUAAAAAAAAGGAAAGCAACCAGGUGAUCCCAAAUAAUACUAAUUGUAUACAAAACAGUACUCUGAGUAACACAGACACAAGUCAAUAUGAUGAUGAUACAUACUCAAAUAAUUAUUUUUUUAAUAAUAUUAUAGUUAAACCACAUUUCUUUUCUGAAUACACAGAAAAAAAUGUAGUUACUUAUUAUCUAAUCAAUAUCUUGGAUACUAUACCUCAAAAUAUUUUAUCAGAUAAUAAUAUAUAUAAUAUUUUAAAACCAUUAGUAUCAAAUUUAAAAAAUUAUUUAUGCACAUUUAAACACCCACUUGCAUAUUUUGAUAAAUCAAUUUAUACAUAUAUGCAAAGAUAUUAUGAAAUGCAAACUAAGAAAACUAAAAUUAAGGACACAAUUAAUAACAAUGUCACAGAAGAAAAUACAAACAACACAAACAACACAAAUAACACAAACAA